This 251-nucleotide ribosomal RNA is filed under the name Clostridioides difficile. RNAcentral's name for it is "partial 23S ribosomal RNA". It matches the Rfam family "Bacterial large subunit ribosomal RNA", at positions 1279 to 1528 of the family's 2925-position model. Lineage: Bacteria; Bacillati; Bacillota; Clostridia; Peptostreptococcales; Peptostreptococcaceae. The record is from RNAcentral.
AGUAUGGGAGUGAGAAUGUUGGCAUGAGUAGCGAGAUGUGGGUGAGAAUCCCACAGGCCGUAAACCCAAGGUUUCCAGGGGAAGGUUCGUCCGCCCUGGGUUAGUCGGGACCUAAGCUGAGGCAGAAAGGCGUAGGUGAUGGACAACAGGUUGAUAUUCCUGUACUACCGAUAACCGUUUGAGAGAUGGGAUGACACAGUAGGAUAAGCUAAGCACACUGUUGGUUAUGUGUGCCCAAGCAUUGAGGCAGU